This 637-nucleotide ribosomal RNA is filed under the name uncultured bacterium. RNAcentral describes it as "bacterial SSU rRNA". It matches the Rfam family "Bacterial small subunit ribosomal RNA", at positions 607 to 1244 of the family's 1533-position model. The record is from RNAcentral.
GCUCAACCGGGGAGGGUCAUUGGAAACUGGGGAACUUGAGUGCAGAAGAGGAGAGUGGAAUUCCACGUGUAGCGGUGAAAUGCGUAGAGAUGUGGAGGAACACCAGUGGCGAAGGCGACUCUCUGGUCUGUAACUGACGCUGAGGCGCGAAAGCGUGGGGAGCGAACAGGAUUAGAUACCCUGGUAGUCCACGCCGUAAACGAUGAGUGCUAAGUGUUAGAGGGUUUCCGCUCUUUAGUGCUGCAGCAAACGCAUUAAGCACUCCGCCUGGGGAGUACGGUCGCAAGACUGAAACUCAAAGGAAUUGACGGGGGCCCGCACAAGCGGUGGAGCAUGUGGUUUAAUUCGAAGCAACGCGAAGAACCUUACCAGGUCUUGACAUCCUCUGACAACCCUAGAGAUAGGGCUUCCCCUUCGGGGGCAGAGUGACAGGUGGUGCAUGGUUGUCGUCAGCUCGUGUCGUGAGAUGUUGGGUUAAGUCCCGCAACGAGCGCAACCCUUGAUCUUAGUUGCCAGCAUUCAGUUGGGCACUCUAAGGUGACUGCCGGUGACAAACCGGAGGAAGGUGGGGAUGAUGUCAAAUCAUCAUGCCCCUUAUGACCUGGGCUACACACGUGCUACAAUGGGCAGAACAAAG